UAGGGAAUCUUCGGCAAUGGACGAAAGUCUGACCGAGCAACGCCGCGUGAGUGAAGAAGGUUUUCGGAUCGUAAAUCUCUGUUGGUAGAGAAGAACGUUGGUGAGAGUGGAAAGCUCAUCAAGUGACGGUAACUACCCAGAAAGGGACGGCUAACUACGUGCCAG
Molecule: ribosomal RNA, 165 nt
Filed under: uncultured bacterium
Lineage: Bacteria
Description: partial 16S rRNA
Rfam family: Bacterial small subunit ribosomal RNA
Source: RNAcentral